This 458-nucleotide ribosomal RNA is filed under the name uncultured bacterium. RNAcentral describes it as "partial 16S ribosomal RNA". It matches the Rfam family "Bacterial small subunit ribosomal RNA", at positions 338 to 795 of the family's 1533-position model. The record is from RNAcentral.
CCUACGGGAGGCAGCAGUGGGGAAUAUUGCACAAUGGGGGAAACCCUGAUGCAGCGACGCCGCUUGAGUGAAGAAGUAAUUCGUUACGUAAAGCUCUAUCAGCAGGGAAGAAACACUGACCUUACGGUCAGCAGACGGUACCUGAGUAAGAAGCCCCGGCUAACUACGAGCCAGCAGCCGCGGUAAUACGUAGGGGGCAAGCGUUAUCCGGGUUUACUGGGUGUAAAGGUAGCGUAGACGGUGCGCCACGUCUGGAGGUAAUUGCCGAAGCUUAACUGCGGAACUGCUUGGGAAACUGGCGAACGAUAGUGGUGGAGGGGUAAGCGGAAUGCCGAGGGUAGCGGUGAAAUGCGUAGAUAUUAGGAGGAACACAGGUGGCGAAGGCGGCUUACUGGACCGUAACUGACGUUGAGGCUCGAAAGCGUGGGGAGCAAACAGGAUUAGAUACCCUUGUAGUC